GGCGAACGGGUGAGUAACGCGUGAGGAACCUGCCUCAAAGAGGGGGACAACAGUUGGAAACGACUGCUAAUACCGCAUAAGCCCACGGCUCGGCAUCGAGCAGAGGGAAAAGGAGUGAUCCGCUUUGAGAUGGCCUCGCGUCCGAUUAGCUGGUUGGUGAGGUAAUGGCCCACCAAGGCGACGAUCGGUAGCCGGACUGAGAGGUUGAACGGCCACAUUGGGACUGAGACACGGCCCAGACUCCUACGGGAGGCAGCAGUGGGGAAUAUUGCACAAUGGGGGAAACCCUGAUGCAGCGACGCCGCGUGGAGGAAGAAGGUCUUCGGAUUGUAAACUCCUGUUGUUGAGGAAGAUAAUGACGGUACUCAACAAGGAAGUGACGGCUAACUACGUGCCAGCAGCCGCGGUAAAACGUAGGUCACAAGCGUUGUCCGGAAUUAAUGGGUGUAAAGGGAGCGCAGGCGGGAGAACAAGUUGGAAGUGAAAUCCAUGGGCUCAACCCAUGAACUGCUUUCAAAACUGUUUUUCUUGAGUAGUGCAGAGGUAGGCGGAAUUCCCGGUGUAGCGGUGGAAUGCGUAGAUAUCGGGAGGAACACCAGUGGCGAAGGCGGCCUACUGGGCACCAACUGACGCUGAGG
This 638-nucleotide ribosomal RNA is filed under the name uncultured bacterium. Its description in RNAcentral is "bacterial SSU rRNA". It matches the Rfam family "Bacterial small subunit ribosomal RNA", at positions 97 to 751 of the family's 1533-position model. The record is from RNAcentral.